CUCUGCCUGAUUUCAGAUCCACUUUCAAUCAAUAAGAACACUUUUAAAAUCAGGCAAAAUCUGACCCUGAAAGGCAGUUUUGGCCCGUCGGCGAAGUAGAUCAUUUCCAUCCAGAGUGCAGGCUGUUUUGCAGGAAAAUAAGCAGGACAAUUGCUCUGAGUCAUGACUGAUGCAAUCUGGAUACUGCAAGGCUCUCUUCUGCUCCUCUGAAGCUCCUAAACUUUGCGCUUAGACCACUCUGGUUCUCUGCAAACACCAUUGUCCCCUAUGGAGGCAGCAAUUGCAUGAAAGGAGGAAGGUGAAAUCACCAUCUACACCAGCAGGCCCUUUUGCUGAAGACCAUCUGGGCUGCUCAGCAUCCCUCAUCCUGCCUCCAUGCUUCCACCAAGUGGCCUUGAGUUCAGCAACCAGUGUUACAGGGGCCAGAGAUGUCGGCUGACGAGCUACAUGUGACACUAAGAUGAAGCCUACACAUGUGUGUUCUUAAAAUUAAUAGCUAGAAAUAAUCACAAUUAUUGUUUAAAUAAAGUUCUGUGAUAAACAAUUGUCCUUUCUGUACAUGGACAAGUCUUUAUCAUUUUGGUCCUGCAGUUUUUAAUAAAAGCAGCAAAGUGAAUAGUUUUGGUUUCCAAGAGCUGACAUUUUUCAUUAAAAAAUAUAUAAAGGCAUGGAGGACUUGUGGGUGGCUGGGUGAG
Oxyura jamaicensis (ruddy duck) is the source of this 695-nucleotide long non-coding RNA. RefSeq lists it as uncharacterized. The record is from RefSeq and is a predicted model, not a curated record. The transcript has 3 exons. Lineage: Eukaryota; Metazoa; Chordata; Aves; Anseriformes; Anatidae.